GCAUGUUCUGGAAAUCUCGCUGAAUGAACAUGGAGUGAGCGACAUCAACUAGAGUUGCUUCUAAUUGCACAAAUUACUCUGAGGAAUGCAACAGUUGAAAGCGAUGGCUAUAUGCGUAACUUCGGCAACUUCAAGUUCGUACCAGAUUCCUCAGAGUUUGGAAACAUCUUCGAAAUACCGAGCGUUUGCAAAAAUAUUCAGAACUCCAAAAGAAACUUCGAUGAGACAGACAUGAAUCUGGUAGGUAUGGGAAUGGAGUUUUAAGGAAGGAUGGUGCAAAGGUGCGGGACUAUUGCAUUGGUGACUCCCGUGGGAAAUUGUCACUGCUGCCACGACAAGAGUACAAAACCCACAAG
Long non-coding RNA from Patiria miniata (bat star), 356 nucleotides. RefSeq lists it as uncharacterized. The record is from RefSeq and is a predicted model, not a curated record. Lineage: Eukaryota; Metazoa; Echinodermata; Asteroidea; Valvatida; Asterinidae. The transcript has 3 exons.